GGAGCAUUGUUGCACCGCCGGGAUAUAAAGUAGCUUUAGAAAUAGAAAAAUUUGAACCACUUUGGAGGUCCUAUUCUCAAUGCCAUCUUGCCAACUUAACGUUUUGGGAUCGUCGCUUAGACGGUGGCUAUCCAGUUUAUUGCGAGCCGCAAAGCGACAGACGUCCGAGAAAGAUAGUCUCGUUGUCUAGGACUCUCAAUUUUACAUACUUUCGAACACAAUUUCGUCGCGGAGGACAGGGAUUUCGUAUCAAAUAUCACACAUUUGAAGACAAAUGUUUAACGGAAUGCAAACUCCUUCCCUGGUACCGCCGUUGUUGUCACGGGUACACGAUUGCAACGUCAGGAGUGCUGCGUCAAGGCUCUGUUGUGAGUGAAUGUAAUGUUAAUGUCAAUGCCAAAGGAAAUCGUUCAAGUUAGUGCUCAGCUCUUUA
Corticium candelabrum is the source of this 433-nucleotide long non-coding RNA. RefSeq lists it as uncharacterized. The transcript is spliced from 3 exons. Lineage: Eukaryota; Metazoa; Porifera; Homoscleromorpha; Homosclerophorida; Plakinidae. The record is from RefSeq and is a predicted model, not a curated record.